Molecule: ribosomal RNA, 1871 nt
Filed under: Staphylococcus aureus
Lineage: Bacteria; Bacillati; Bacillota; Bacilli; Caryophanales; Staphylococcaceae
Description: partial 23S ribosomal RNA
Rfam family: Bacterial large subunit ribosomal RNA
Source: RNAcentral
GGUUAAGUUAUUAAGGGCGCACGGCGAAUGCCUUGGCACUAGGAGCCGAAGAAGGACGGCACUAACACCGAUAUGCUUCGGGGAGCUGUAAGUGAGCUUUGAUCCGGAGAUUUCCGAAUGGGGGAACCCACUACGUUUAAUCGCGUAGUAUCUUGACGUGAAUACAUAGCGUCUUGAAGGCAGACCCAGGGAACUGAAACAUCUAAGUACCUGGAGGAAGAGAAAGAAAAAUCGAUUCCCUGAGUAGCGGCGAGCGAAACGGGAAGAGCCCAAACCAAGAGGCUUGCCUCUUGGGGUUGUAGGACACUCUAUACGGAGUUACAAAAGAGCGAGUUAGAUGAAGCGACUUGGAAAGGUCCGCCAGAGCAGGUAAAAGCCCUGUAGUCGAAAGUUCGUUCUCUCCUGAGUGGAUCCUGAGUACGGCGGAACACGUGAAAUUCCGUCGGAAUCCGGGAGGACCAUCUCCCAAGGCUAAAUACUACCUAGUGACCGAUAGUGAACCAGUACCGUGAGGGAAAGGUGAAAAGCACCCCGGAAGGGGAGUGAAAGAGAUCCUGAAACCGUGUGCCUACAAGUAGUUAGAGCCCGUUAAUGGGUGAUAGCGUGCCUUUUGUAGAAUGAACCGGCGAGUUACGAUUACGUGCAAGGUUAAGCUUUAGAAGGCGGAGCCGCAGCGAAAGCGAGUCUGAAUAGGGCGAAAUAGUACGUGGUCGUAGACCCGAAACCAGGUGAUCUACCCAUGUCCAGGGUGAAGGUGAGGUAACACUUACUGGAGGCCCGAACCCACGCACGUUGAAAAGUGCGGGGAUGAGGUGUGGGUAGCGGAGAAAUUCCAAUCGAACUUGGAGAUAGCUGGUUCUCUCCGAAAUAGCUUUAGGGCUAGCCUCGUGAUGAGAAUACUGGAGGUAGAGCACUGUUUGGACUAGGGGGCCAUCCCGGUUUACCGAAUUCAGACAAACUCCGAAUGCCAGAUAUUUAUACACGGGAGUCAGACUGCGAGUGAUAAGAUCCGUAGUCAAAAGGGAAACAGCCCAGACCACCAGCUAAGGUCCCAAAAUAUAUGUUAAGUGGAAAAGGAUGUGGCGUUGCCCAGACAACUAGGAUGUUGGCUUAGAAGCAGCCAUCAUUUAAAGAGUGCGUAAUAGCUCACUGGUCGAGUGACGCUGCGCCGAAAAUGUAUCGGGGCUAAACGAUUCACCGAAGCUGUGGAUUGACAUCUACGAUGUCAGUGGUAGGAGAGCGUUCUAAGUGCGUUGAAGUCAGAUCGGAAGGACUGGUGGAGCGCUUAGAAGUGAGAAUGCCGGUAUGAGUAGCGAAAGACGGGUGAGAAUCCCGUCCACCGUAUGACUAAGGUUUCCUGAGGAAGGCUCGUCCGCUCAGGGUUAGUCGGGACCUAAGCCGAGGCCGAUAGGCGUAGGCGAUGGACAACAGGUUGAUAUUCCUGUACCACCUCCUCACCGUUUGAGAAAUGGGGGGACGCAGUAGGAUAGGGUAAGCGCGCCGUUGGUUGUGCGCGUCCAAGCAGUAAGGCGUGUGUGUAGGCAAAUCCGCACACUGUAACGUUGAGCUGUGAUGGCGAGUCCGUAUGGACGAAGUUCCUGAUUUCACACUGCCAAGAAAAGCCUCUAUCGAGGUGAGAGGUGCCCGUACCGCAAACCGACACAGGUAGUCGAGGAGAGAAUCCUAAGGUGUGCGAGAGAACUCUCGUUAAGGAACUCGGCAAAAUGACCCCGUAACUUCGGGAGAAGGGGUGCUCUUGAGCGUGCAAGCGCAUGAGAGCCGCAGUGAAUAGGCCCAGGCGACUGUUUAGCAAAAACACAGGUCUCUGCAAAACCGUAAGGUGACGUAUAGGGGCUGACGCCUGCCCGGUG